GUGAAUCAUCAAAUUUUUGAACGCAAAUUGCACUUCUUGGUAUUCCGAGGAGUACACAUGCUUGAGGGUCAGUUAAAAAAAAAUCUUACAUCUUUUAUUUUGCGGAUCUGAUUAUUCCGAUUUUAUUAAUCGUUUACCUAAAUUUAUUUAUAUUUAAUUUGAAGCUUCUUAUUUUUAUUCGCUAUUCUUUUUAUUUUU
Molecule: unclassified non-coding RNA, 198 nt
Filed under: Gigasporaceae sp.
Lineage: Eukaryota; Fungi; Glomeromycota; Glomeromycetes; Diversisporales; Gigasporaceae
Description: partial contains 5.8S ribosomal RNA and internal transcribed spacer 2
Rfam family: 5.8S ribosomal RNA (bases 1-71)
Source: RNAcentral